GAUGAAGAACGUAGUGAAAUGCGAUACGUAAUGUGAAUUGCAGAAUUCAGUGAAUCAUCGAGUCUUUGAACGCACAUUGCGCCCCCUGGUAUUCCGGGGGGCAUGCCUGUCCGAGCGUCAUUGCUGCCCUCAAGCACGGCUUGUGUGUUGGGCCUCCGUCCUCCUCCCGGGGGACGGGCCCGAAAGGCAGCGGCGGCACCGCGUCCGGGCCUCGAGCGUAUGGGGCUUCGUCACCCGCUCUUGUAGGCCCGGCCGGCGCUUGCCGACACAUCAAUCUUUUUUCCAGGUUGACCUCGGAUCAGGUAGGGAUACCCGCUGAACUUAAGCAUAUCAAUAAGCGGAGGA
Molecule: unclassified non-coding RNA, 345 nt
Filed under: soil metagenome
Description: partial contains 5.8S ribosomal RNA, internal transcribed spacer 2, and large subunit ribosomal RNA
Rfam family: 5.8S ribosomal RNA (bases 1-120)
Source: RNAcentral